Molecule: ribosomal RNA, 425 nt
Filed under: uncultured bacterium
Lineage: Bacteria
Description: partial 16S ribosomal RNA
Rfam family: Bacterial small subunit ribosomal RNA
Source: RNAcentral
GUGGGGAAUAUUGGACAAUGGGGGCUACCCUGAUCCAGCCAUGCCGCGUGAGUGAUGACGGCCUUCGGGUUGUAAAGCUCUUUUACAUGGGAAGAUAAUGACGGUACCAUGAGAAUAAGCACCGGCAAACUUCGUGCCAGCAGCCGCGGUAAUACGAAGGGUGCAAGCGUUGUUCGGAAUUACUGGGUGUAAAGGGCGUGUAGGCGGAUUAGUUAGUUAGUGGUGAAAUCCUUGGGCUCAACCUGAGAACUGCCAUUGAUACAGCUAGUCUGGAGUAUUAGAGAGGAUGACGGAAUAUCCAGUGUAGAGGUGAAAUUCGUAGAUAUUGGAUAGAACACCGGUGGCGAAGGCGGUCAUCUGGCUAAUUACUGACGCUGAGGCGCGAGAGCGUGGGGAGCAAACAGGAUUAGAAACCCGGGUAGUCC